Non-coding RNA from Bombyx mori (domestic silkworm), 84 nucleotides. The record is from Rfam. Lineage: Eukaryota; Metazoa; Arthropoda; Insecta; Lepidoptera; Bombycidae.
UUAGCUCAUAUUUGUAUGAAAUAGGAUCGUUUACGUACGUUUGCCGCUAGGGGCGCUGUUCCAACUGCAUGCAAAAUUGGGUUA